AUUGAACGCUGGCGGCAUGCCUUACACAUGCAAGUCGAACGGUAACAGGUCUUCGGAUGCUGACGAGUGGCGAACGGGUGAGUAAUACAUCGGAACGUGCCUAGUAGUGGGGGAUAACUACUCGAAAGAGUGGCUAAUACCGCAUGAGGUCUACGGAUGAAAGCAGGGGAUCGCAAGACCUUGUGCUACUAGAGCGGCCGAUGGCAGAUUAGGUAGUUGGUGGGAUAAAAGCUUACCAAGCCGACGAUCUGUAGCUGGUCUGAGAGGACGAUCAGCCACACUGGGACUGAGACACGGCCCAGACUCCUACGGGAGGCAGCAGUGGGGAAUUUUGGACAAUGGGCGCAAGCCUGAUCCAGCAAUGCCGCGUGCAGGAUGAAGGCCUUCGGGUUGUAAACUGCUUUUGUACGGAACGAAAAGCCCCGGGUUAAUACCCUGGGGUCAUGACGGUACCGUAAGAAUAAGCACCGGCUUACUACGUGCCAGCCGCCGCUGUAA
Molecule: ribosomal RNA, 498 nt
Filed under: uncultured bacterium
Lineage: Bacteria
Description: partial 16S ribosomal RNA
Rfam family: Bacterial small subunit ribosomal RNA
Source: RNAcentral